CUAUCGAGGUCGAUAGAUCUCAUCUUUGUACAACCUAAAUCCUACAAUGAGCAUAUUGCACCUAAGAUACACCUCAAGGCUCCGUAUGGUUAGGAGCUCGAGUUAUUGUGUAGUGAAACUAUAGCACCCUUAAGAUGAAUGGUCGAUGCACCUUAGAUCAGAGAACUAAACAUACAACCACAACUAUGAACAUGUCACUGAUGAGAA
This 207-nucleotide long non-coding RNA is filed under the name Elaeis guineensis (African oil palm). RNAcentral's name for it is "long non-coding RNA (EGUI_LNC017003)". The record is from RNAcentral. Lineage: Eukaryota; Viridiplantae; Streptophyta; Magnoliopsida; Arecales; Arecaceae.